RNAcentral lists this ribosomal RNA (427 nucleotides) under uncultured bacterium. Its description in RNAcentral is "bacterial SSU rRNA". It matches the Rfam family "Bacterial small subunit ribosomal RNA", at positions 355 to 774 of the family's 1533-position model. The record is from RNAcentral.
UAGGGAAUAUUGGACAAUGGGGGCAACCCUGAUCCAGCCAUGCCGCGUGAGUGAAGAAGGCCCUCGGGUUGUAAAGCUCUUUUGUCCGGAAAGAAAAGCUUCGGGUUAAUACCCCGGGGUUCUGACGGCACCGGAAGAAUAAGCACCGGCUAACUUCGUGCCAGCAGCCGCGGUAAUACGAAGGGUGCAAGCGUUACUCGGAAUUACUGGGCGUAAAGCGUGCGUAGGUGGUUGUUUAAGUCUGAUGUGAAAGCCCUGGGCUCAACCUGGGAAUGGCAUUGGAAACUGGGCAGCUAGAGUGCGGUAGAGGGUAGUGGAAUUCCCGGUGUAGCAGUGAAAUGCGUAGAGAUCGGGAGGAACAUCUGUGGCGAAGGCGACUGCCUGGACCAGCACUGACACUGAGGCACGAAAGCGUGGGGAGCAAACA